CUUAACCUACGGGAGGCAGCAGUGGGGAAUAUUGCACAAUGGGGGGAACCCUGAUGCAGCGACGCCGCGUGAGUGAAGAAGUAUUUCGGUAUGUAAAGCUCUAUCAGCAGGGAAGAAAAUGACGGUACCUGACUAAGAAGCCCCGGCUAACUACGUGCCAGCAGCCGCGGUAAUACGUAGGGGGCAAGCGUUAUCCGGAUUUACUGGGUGUAAGGGGAGAGUAGACGGCAGAGCAAGUCUGAAGUGCAAGCCCG
Molecule: ribosomal RNA, 254 nt
Filed under: uncultured bacterium
Lineage: Bacteria
Description: partial 16S ribosomal RNA
Rfam family: Bacterial small subunit ribosomal RNA
Source: RNAcentral